Molecule: non-coding RNA, 478 nt
Organism: Callorhinus ursinus (northern fur seal)
Lineage: Eukaryota; Metazoa; Chordata; Mammalia; Carnivora; Otariidae
Source: RefSeq, a predicted model, not a curated record
GCUACCGGCUGACAGUUUGACUUGCGUCUGCUCUAGAAACGUUGAGAUCCCUUGGUCAGCAUGUCUCCGUUGAAAUAAAAGCAGCCCAGACAGGUUCUCACGGCAACAGCAAAGGCACAAGCAUGCAUGAAAGCAUGCAAUGCCCUUUGAAGGGUGGGCUCAGAACUCUCUCACCACCGUUUUCUUAGCCAAAGCAAGUCAUGUGGCCAAGCUCAGAGCCGGAGCGAGAGGAUACUAUGCAAGUUUACGCUAUAAAACGUGUCUAUAGUGGGAGCGAGAGAAGGGUUGCUUCUUGGGGAAGAUACUCAAACCCUCUGAACCUUGUGUAUUUGUGUAUGAAAAUGAACCAAUGCUACACACCUCCUCGGAUUGUUGGGGGAAUGACGCAGGAUGAUGAAUGUGGAAGCGGUUUGUAAGCCGUGAAGGGCUCAACAGUCACCGGUUCCUGCCCUGUUUAGAGCAAUGCCAAAAAGUCGGG